Non-coding RNA from Cyprinus carpio carpio, 281 nucleotides. Ensembl annotates it as small Cajal body-specific RNA 6. Its record names the gene SCARNA6. The record is from Ensembl. NCBI's taxonomy places the organism in Eukaryota, Metazoa, Chordata, Actinopteri, Cypriniformes, Cyprinidae.
GGUCAAUGAUGUGAUUUUUAAAAGGUCUGAAAUCCAGGUCUCCUCCCAGUCCUUCCACCUCUCCCAGCAGCCCCUCUUCAUUUUUCCCAGCAUGCUCUAGUUGUGCAUUACUGGUUCGAGGUGGUAGCUGAUUCUUUGGAUGUUUAUGCUGAUUAAGAGUCUUCUAGAGAACCAAGUGAGACCUCGACAGCAGCAUCCAACAGAACUACAACACAAAGGAGGGCUGGACAGGAGGAGAACGUUUAAAUUGGUGCAUGAUCUCAAGUUUUCAAGCUGAGACC